This 2069-nucleotide long non-coding RNA is filed under the name Olea europaea subsp. europaea. Lineage: Eukaryota; Viridiplantae; Streptophyta; Magnoliopsida; Lamiales; Oleaceae. The record is from RNAcentral.
GCUUGAGCCGAGCAAAAGCUCAACCAAAAAUAUGAGGCUCGAUGGGCCUUGUUGAGUCGAGCCGAACCGGCUCGGUUUUAUUGUUUUUUUUUAAACAAGCCGACCAGUCGAGCCACAGGCCGGCUAGAGCUCAGCCCAUCACCCAAAAUGGAGCUCAAUUGUACUGAGCCUCAAGCUGGGUCGGCUCAGACUUUUUUGCGGCCGAGCCGCUAGCGGCAUUAGCGGACAAGUCGAAUUGCCAUUCCUACUCAUGGUUGACUCUUCCUACAAAAGAUAACAAAUAUCACCAAGAAUUUUGAAUUGAACUCGAUGACAUGCUUUUCAUAGUAACAUAUAGAUGCCUUACUUUUGUAACUUUAAGUACCAUUUUUCAAAUCAGUUUUUCUACAAGUACAGAAAAAAUCGAUAGAAUUCUUAGAUAGAAACACCUGGAAGUUUGUCAUUAGUUUUUGAAACGACAAACACAGAAUUGCACCACAUAAAUUCCUUGUAACUGUGGAAUUAAUCUUUUCAAAUCGCAUUGGGUGCUUUUGAAGAGCUCUAUAAAAUUUUGGUUUCUUGCAGGCUUAUACAGAAACACAUUAUGGGCAAGUCGCAACAAUUUUUUCUUGUAGCAGUAAUCUAACUGUAAUUAACAUAAGACAAUGCGAUAAAAUUUAUAGGACUGACCUAAAAAAAAAAAAGGCGAGAGUGGUAAACAACCCUGAGCAUUGCCAAUGGGAAUAAGAUUGAGAUAAUUGUUCGUGUUGCUUGCAGAAGUAUUGGUCAUAAUUGUUGAUUAUACAUUGAAUAACUCGAAUGGUACUUCAAAAAUUUUAGGGUGCAUUUGAUUGUAAGCACAUAGUUUACAUGGAAAGGAAAUAAAUUUUAAGUAUUUACAUGGAAUUAGGGCCUGCUUGGAGUUUCCUUAUCAUAACUGUAUUUUAAAGUAUUGGUUUGAGUGGUGUUUUAAAGUUUUUGAGCGAUUUUUGAAAGGAAAAAUUGCAGUUAAGGUAUCAAAUCUUUCGUUUACUAAAAGACUUGACCAAAAUCAUUAAUUUGUGCCAUCGAAAAUAUCAAACUUUUAAAAAAAUAGCAAGUCUAGUCCAAAAUGAUGGUUUCAGUUUGUUUGACCACCAAAAAUCGUCAGCUGACCCCAGAAAUGAAAAUUUUAAUUAUUUUCCUGAAUAAAGCCAACAUUACACAUUUUUCCUUCAAAAUCAAAAAUAAAAAUCCAUUUUACAGGCAUCCACUGAGCCAAACCAUCACAUUAUUCCCCAUCCCCAUAUAAUUCCCUUAUCCUCAAAAUCGCCGGUACCUGCCACCCAGCCCGUCUGCCAACAUCACCACCUAGGCCGGCCGCCACUGCCAUUUCUAAUUCACUCAUUUAAACAAAUGAAAGGGAAAAAAAGAAUCUUAAGAUUUACCUAACUUCUUUCUCUCUUUCAAACAGAUUUACCUAGCUUCUUCCACCACCACCACCUCUCUUUCUGAGAUUUACCUAGUCCAAAACUGAUUUUGAAAUCAAUUUGAUUUUGAGGUUUUGCCAUUGUCGUGGUGUAAGUGACGGUGGCGUGAACGCUCGAUUGGGAGCGCAAAUGCUACCGACUUUCCUCUUCUAAGGCACAAGGGAAGCCAUUUAUGUAAUUCCACUCCUCCUUAGUUGUCCUUUUGCCGAACAACAAUUGGAACCAACUCUAAGACGGGGUCUCUCGAUGAAAAGAGAUGAAGGAUUGCAGAACAAAUCAAUCGCGGUCAUUAAUGAUGAAUUCCUUAUGCAAAAUUAUUAAUUACCUUUUUUGAGCAAGAAAAAAUGGAAAUCAUAGUUUUCCUUCUUCCCUAAAAUUGAAAUCAUAAAUUUACCUAGUAGGAUAGUAAAGAAGAGAAAUGGAGAGGGGAAUUUUAAGAACCCUAAACCUUGCAAUAGCGUGGGAGUUGGUAGCAGCCCCAAUGUUUAGACGGUGUUUGGGGCUAGAGGUUGAGGCGGCGUCGUGGUGGUGGUGGUCGGCAACUAGAUCCUUUUCAUUUUGAUUUUGGGGUGAGGGGUGCGGCUGAGAAGGAAAGGGAUUUUUAUUUUUGCCCAUGUUUAG